This 492-nucleotide ribosomal RNA is filed under the name uncultured bacterium. Its description in RNAcentral is "partial 16S ribosomal RNA". It matches the Rfam family "Bacterial small subunit ribosomal RNA", at positions 29 to 507 of the family's 1533-position model. The record is from RNAcentral.
AGUGAACGCUGGCGGUAGGCCUAACACAUGCAAGUCGAACGGUAGCACCGCAUGCGCUUGCUCUUACGGGUGGCGAGUGGCGGACGAGACAGGAAUACAUCGGCAUCUACUUUUUCGUGGGGGGUAAAGACCGGAGAUUUACGCUAAUACUUCAUAAGUCCUGCGUGUGAAACCAGGGGAUCCUCGGGCCUUGCGCGAUUGACUGAGCCGCUGUCGGAUUAGAUAGUUGGCGGGGUCAAGCCCAACCAAGGCGACGAUCCGUAGCUGAUCUGACAGGAGGAUCAGCCACACUGGAACUGAGACACGGUGCAGACUACUACGGGAGGCAGCAGUGGGGAAUAUUGGGCAAUGGGCGCAAGCCUGAUCCAGCGAUACCGCGUGAGUGAAGAAGGCCUUCGGGUCGGAAAGCACUUUUGUUGGGAAAGAAAAGCAGCAGGUUAAUACCCCGCUGUACUGACGGUACCCAAAGAAUAAGCACCGGCUAACUUCGUG